Molecule: long non-coding RNA, 573 nt
Organism: Macrosteles quadrilineatus (aster leafhopper)
Lineage: Eukaryota; Metazoa; Arthropoda; Insecta; Hemiptera; Cicadellidae
Exons: 4
Source: RefSeq, a predicted model, not a curated record
GUAUAAUCAAGUAGUCUAUUGUUGUUCAACUUAAUAUUAAUGAUAUAUGUACAGUACAUUAUUUUCACAAAAUAUGCUAAGUUAAUUAUUAUUUCUCUAUAUCAUUUGACGAAUCGAGUUUUAUCAGCAACAAUACGUUGAAUUGCUGAAGGACAUCCAACAGUAGGCCUAUGUCUACUAGGAGGAUGGUGGUUGACCUGCUCGCCACAAAGUUUUUUUUUUCAUUGGGGGACCGAGCAAGGCAGAUUUUAGAAAGGCUAAACCAAACAAGUGCAUCUGUUGGUUGGAUUGCUGAGCAGCAUGGGUGAAAGAUUUCUACAACAGUACAUCUACAGUAGAUGUAACUAAUAACUAGGAGGAUGGUGCUUGAACUAAUUGCUACAACAUUUUUCCAUUCCGAAAAAAAUAUGGGGACCGAGCAAGGCUAAACCAAAAAAAUGCAAAUGUUGAUAAUAAAACCUGCCGUUGGAAUGGAUCAAGUUGAUGAGAUUCCUUUGUUAAAAGAAGUUUCUUAGUUUGUAAAAGUGAUUAACUUUUGAAAUUUAUGUAAAUAAAAAUGAGUUUAUCAAAUAA